This 1284-nucleotide long non-coding RNA is filed under the name Gossypium raimondii (Peruvian cotton). RNAcentral describes it as "long non-coding RNA (GRAI_LNC004813)". Lineage: Eukaryota; Viridiplantae; Streptophyta; Magnoliopsida; Malvales; Malvaceae. The record is from RNAcentral.
CGUUUUUAAGAAUGCCCUAUAAAAGCCAAUUUUAAAACCCUAAAAACCACUUCUCUGGCAUUCCACAGAUGCGCUGCAACUCUCCAUCUGCUCCACCAUUCCAGUCCUCUCCUAUUUUCGACCAUGAAACGGCGAAGCGAGGUUGCUUUUCGACGAAUCUCACGACGGAAAGUCCUCCUUUUCUUCCCCUCUUCGUUUAUUAUUUUUUAAAAAAACAAAAGGAAAACAAAAUAAAAUAAAAACAGUAAAAGAACAGAAGAAAAAAACAAAAUCUGUUACCUUCCAAAAUCGUUUUCUUUCUCUUGUAUUUUCUUGUUAAUUUUCAUACAAUAUUUUUGCUAACCCCUUUUACAAAGAAUCAAUUCCCUUUAUAUAGCCCACCCCCCGUUUUACCAGUUUUUUGCUGUGUAUAUCCUCUUAAUGCUAUUCGUGGUUUGCAGGUGUGUAGGCGUUGUGCGGGAGUUGCUACGACGUGGGGCGUUAUUGCGAGGGAAGAACGUGGGCAGUUGCGGUGUGCAAGGACGACGUGGGGCAAGCAAUAUCGGCUAUCUGUUGCUUAAGGUUUCUGUGACUUUAGGCCAGUUGGGCCCUGCAAUUGGGUCAAAAAAAUGGGCUUAUAAUUCGGUUAUUGGGUCGGGGUGUUAUUGGGUUUAAAACUGGGUCUGUAAUUUAUUGUAUUUUUAUUUUCAGGUUUAUGCAUUUGGGCCCGGGCUAAAAUGGCCUAUUACACAUAUUAUUCUAAAGAUUUAAAAUCAACAUUUAUAUAAUAUUAGAGAUUUGAUCUGCAUAAUAUUUAGAUCUUAAAGAUUUUAUAUGGAAUGAUCAUUCCUCCCAACCAAAUAUGCUAUUAGGUUUUUUGUUUUAUAAUUAUUAAUUAAGAAGCAUUAUUUUUUUAUGUUUCAAAGAAGAGAAAAUUUUUAAAAUUUGUGUUUAUCAUUAAUCCUUAUAAUAAUCUUACCUUUUUUAAAUAUCAAUUAAUGAUCUUCCAGUUGCAAGAAAUGGUCCAUCAAGAAUAAGUGGUACCAUUCUAUUUUCCUCCAUAUUCAAAAUAAUGAAAUUUGUCAAAAGAAUAAAUUGUCCACUUUAACUAGCACCUCUUCGAUGACCCUCUUAGGGUAACACAAUUUUUUCAACCAUCUACAAUGUGACAGAUAUAGGCAUAAGAUCCCCUAAACUUAACUUUUGAGUUUUAGAGCAACAUCAAGUUAAUGUUUAUUCCCAAAUUGUAGAGUAUAAAUUGUAGAGUAUAAAGUCAAUAUGAGAUUUAUGAUUCUUUUUUAAGAC